AUGACAGGCUGGUCAGUGCCCUGUCAUCCUCUACAUCUCCCUGGCCAUCUAGGACGGCAGUGGCCCAGCUCAUCCUCUGGGCUCUUCCAAGCCCUCCGAUUUCUACCGAUGCCCAGCCCCACGGGACUCAUCCACUUCCAGACCCCAGAAGGAAGUGGUUCAUUCCAUCUCUCCCCACCACACCCACCCUGCUGGCCAGAACAGCACAGGCCUGCAGUGCCCACCCCUUCCUGUCAGCCUGGCAAUGCCAGCUCUUCUCAGCCCCAAUCCCAAUUCCACACAUGGCCCUGCAGAGGUGGACUAAAACUUCUGGUUCAGGUGCGGCAGGGAUUAAAGGCAAGCAUACACACCACGAGAAGGGGCUGCUGAAGACAACCACAAAGAAGGGGCCAGAACCACCAAAGCAAGGUGCACAGACAUGCUCCCACUGUGAAGCUGGUGAGGGCUGUCUCACAGAGGCCAGCUUUGGCGGAGAGAGCUGAGCCUC
RNAcentral lists this long non-coding RNA (487 nucleotides) under Ovis aries (sheep). RNAcentral describes it as "lncRNA (ENSOARG00000026695.1)". The record is from RNAcentral. Lineage: Eukaryota; Metazoa; Chordata; Mammalia; Artiodactyla; Bovidae.